Molecule: ribosomal RNA, 574 nt
Filed under: uncultured bacterium
Lineage: Bacteria
Description: bacterial SSU rRNA
Rfam family: Bacterial small subunit ribosomal RNA
Source: RNAcentral
UUGAACGCUGGCGGCGUGCUUAACACAUGCAAGUCGAGCGGUAACAGGUGUAGCAAUACAUGCUGACGAGCGGCGAACGGGUGAGUAAUGCUUCGGAAUCUUCCUCGUAGUGGGGAAUAACCUGGGGAAACUCAGGCUAAUACCGCAUACGAACUACGGUUGAAAGCAGGGGAUCGCAAGACCUUGCGCUAUGAGAUGAGCCGAAGUCGGAUUAGCUAGUUGGUGAGGUAAAGGCUCACCAAGGCGACGAUCCGUAGCUGGUCUGAGAGGACGACCAGCCACACUGGGACUGAGACACGGCCCAGACUCCUACGGGAGGCAGCAGUGGGGAAUAUUGGACAAUGGGGGCAACCCUGAUCCAGCGACGCCCGUGUGUGAAGAAGGCCUGCGGGUUGUAAAGCACUUUUAGUGGGGAUGAAAAGCCAAGGGCUAAUACCCUUUGGUCUUGACCUAACCCAAAGAAAAAGCACCGGCUAACUCUGUGCCAGCAGCCGCGGUAAUACAGAGGGUGCAAGCGUUAAUCGGAAUUACUGGGCGUAAAGCGUGCGCAGUCGGUUAUCUAAGUCGGAUGUGA